Molecule: long non-coding RNA, 3223 nt
Filed under: Malus domestica (apple)
Lineage: Eukaryota; Viridiplantae; Streptophyta; Magnoliopsida; Rosales; Rosaceae
Description: long non-coding RNA (MDOM_LNC001889)
Source: RNAcentral
UGAAUUUAAAUAUAUAAAUUUGAUGUCAUCAGUCAGCUAAUAUUCUCUUAGGCAAAUCCUAACAUAAGUACAUCAUCUGCAAGACUGUGGAUUUGAUCGUGUUAAUUUUUUGUCUAUAUAUUUGCCUUGUCCAAAAUGAAGUCACACAAGCAGAAAAAAAUUGUACGUUGGGAACCUUCUUACGACCUUCAAUAUUUUUAGCCUUAAUGAUUUGAAUAUUGAUGUGACAAACUAUAUUUUACACGUGGAUCUAGAUAUACACACUUCGAAAAAUAUAUGUGAUUCCUUUCAAACGAACCAAGGAAUAUGGUCCCCGAUACAUAUAAAUCCCAAGCAAUAUAUAUGUGAUCAUCCCAGGUUCAUAUCUGCCACCUUCGCGAGGCUUAUAAUAAUGUCAUCUAUAGUAAUUUAAUAUUCAACUUGUUAGUUAUCAGAGUCGAAUUUAGACAUUUUCAACUUAUAAAGUGAAGAGGAUCACUAGACCGUAACUUUAAGUGACUUAAAUACGUCACUUUGUUCUACAAUGUGCUAUUUCUUUUCGCUUGUAAAGGAGAAUUUUUAGAUUUAAACCUCAUGGAUGACGAAUUCGAGAUUAAUCUAUUCUCCACCAUUUAAUUUAUAUCGUUGAGUUGAAAAAGUGGCACAAAAUUUUGAUUAUGUUUUUGUACAUUUCCCAAAUUGUGUAAUGAAGUUAACAAACUAAAUAUGCAACCCUGCAGGAAAAACACAAAGAAUUCCUUGGUGCUAUAUAUUUUGCCAAGGCUUGAAGUUGAUGGUAAUGAAUUAAAAAUGAAAGAAAAAUUUGCUAUUUUUAGAUAAUAGUAGAUGAAAAUUUUGUUGGAAGUCACAAAGCCACUCAUUUGAUGUAAUUGCUUUUGGAAUACUUAUUGUGUUAAACUAUUAUAUGUUUAAUGAAGGGCAAAUCUUAUUGUUAAUCACUAUUUAUUGUAUUAUGUGUUUAAGCAAUAAGGGAAUCCAAGGAAUGUAUUUAAUCUAAGAGAGAAGUGAUCUAAGUAAGUUAGAUUAACGAGACCUGUUGUGAAAAUCAGAUAACAAAAAUUAAACUCAUUAAGUCUCGAAUUUUAGUGCUCGUAAGUAUACGAAUCGGAUGAUUGUAUAGCUUAUAAGCACGGAUAUCGUCCGACAGAGAUCGAAUUGAUUCUAAAAUCUUAAUAACUAAAUUGAUACAAAUUAUAGUGGAGAAGCUUUAACGGAAAAGAUAGAAGAAUUGAAUUAAACUAAAAAUGAAAAAUGACUUUAAAAAUAAAAUACAUGAAAUUAUAAAAUUAUAAAUAUACGAAAAUAAAACAUAGGGCAUCCGAAUUCACCGUAACCAAUUCUACUUAAUUCCUUUAAUAUGUUAUGCUCAUGUAGUUCCCCAAUAUUGAUGAUCGAUUUUCCCUAAAUUGUUCGACGGCCAUGGCAUCAGGUUACAUUAAAAGUAUCCUUACAUGUUAACCCUCUAUGGCAUCUAGAUGAAUUUAAACAAGUAAGAACCCAUUAAGCUCUAUGGAAAUUGUUGGAAAAUCACACAAACCUUAAUUGUAUGGCAUCUACAAAUAGGUGGUUAUGGUAUCAAUUGCAAGAAGCUAAACCCAAGUUAAUUAUAGCAUCUACUCUAACUUGCAUCAAAUCAACCUAAUUUAAACCUAGAUGGUGAUCAAGUAUCUAAAUAAAAAUCAAGCGCAUUACGAAUAACAAAAGAUACUCAAUAAAGAAGAAAAACAUGAUAAUAACAAUGCCACAAGGCAAUUAAGUAUUUAUGAUUUCACUACAUCGUAGCCCUAGAAAAGAAAAACCCCAAAGUUCUUCUCCCUUUUCACUUCUUGCCUCAGCCUUAUAUGUUAUAAGAUGUGUAUUUUUGUUGUUUGGUGGCUCUUUUCCUUUACAAUGGAGAACCAAUCUCCAUAUAUAAAACCCACGGCAAGCAUUGAAAAGACCAAGUAGAAAUGGUCAAAUAAAUGACCACUAAUCUUAGCUCUAAUGGACCUUUAAGUCCUUAUUAAAUAAAAUACAAAAUAAUGGAAAUAAUAAAAACUAAAAAUUAAGUUCUCUCCUAAAUUCCAUUGAAUAGCAUGCCCAUCUUUAUUUGAUUCCAAAACUGCUCGGUUUCAUCUUCUUGUUGUAAUGCACAUGUCUUCACGCGGCUAAUUAGACUCUUGUUCCACUGGAAUUACUUUAGACACCUGAAAAACUUAUUUUCCACUUCUUUUUCACUUAACUCCCGUAUUGAAUACCUAGAAACUAAAACAAUAUAAAUUAGUGCAUUUAACCAAUUCAUAUAUACUAAAUCCAAAGGAAAUAUAUGAUAAAAAUAUAUGAAAAUAUGCACCCAUCAAGACCUUUCUCUUAUGUUCAUUCCUAAAACGUUCCUAGCCAUAGGAUUGUCAAUUGGGCAUUGACAAUCCGCCAAGUUUAGUAUGUGUUAUGUUAACUCAAGCGUGAGUAUGACUAGUCUCAAGUCAUUUAGUGUUGGACACUGAGACAAACACAUAGGUGCUCUAAAGGUAAUUGAGUACACUGAACAAUGAUCCAAAAAGAGUUCGAACAUACAUGUCAUGUAAGAACUUGGUGCGAAAAUAACUUAACACACAAAUUAAACCCUUUUGUUGUCAAUUGUAGUAAAGAAUGUAAGUAGGGAUCGUUCUAGGCCGGGGAUUAGGAGGGAUUGCUAAAACACUUGAAACUGACUUAAAUAUGUGUAAACAAACUUAAAAGCAUGAAAUUAAACUUACAAGACUCAAAACAAAGUCACAAGACUCAAAACAGAUUAUAAAGACUCAAAACUGCCUAAAAACAACUCUAAGGCAGUUUCUGCCACUAACACAAGGUUUGGACGAAAAUUGAUUUUAUCUUGACUUAAAACACUUAAAAACACAAUCUAAAACAAGUACUAACUAAUAUGACUUAAUAAAAUAAAGGGGAUUUUGGUUUUGGACAAAAAUAAGGAAAACAAAGUAAGAACAAUUUAAACAGAUUCUUAGACAAAUUUAGGUGAAUUGAUGGGUGAUGGGUUCAACUAUGGAUGGUGGGCUAGCUAGAGGGUUUUUCUCCACACAUGACACACUUGCAUAUAAAACGAUUUCCAGUUGCUUUUCAAUAAACCAUGAACCUCAACACCCCAGAUUAAUUAGGUACGCUUAAAUUAAUCCUCAGAUUUUCUUAAUUUCAUUGAAUUGGAUGAUUGCAUACAACAACCCAAAGCAUUCCCCACAAGUUCCCU